UAAUACGAGUUUAUUUUUAUCUCGGCGCAAUCACUUAAAAGCAAUCAAUAUAGUUUGAAUAACUCUCACAAACUUAUAUUUAUAUUUAAUAGAUUAUAUUAUAAAUAAUAAUAAUUAUUAACCUUAAAACAACUUUUCAAUUCUCGCAGAAAUUAUAAAUUUACUUUCCACUAAUCAGUGUAAUUUGCUAAUCAUAUAUAGCAUCAGAAAUAAUGUUCGCAUAAUUGCGCAGUGACUUUCAAGAGUGUACAAAUAAUUUCUUAGUUUUUAUAUCAAAAAAUGCUCAAAUAUAUAUAUUUUAAGCGAUAUUUCAUUCUAAUAAAUACUAGAGAAAGUCAUCCAACAACUUUUCAAUUUCAUUGCAAAACUGUUCCAUAAUAUUAGUAUCAUUUUUUUAAAUGAUAACUUUUCAGUAAUUACAAAUCAAAAAUGUUUAUUACUAAUUUUUCGUAUCUCCGCGCGCACAAUGUAUAUGUGUGUGUACGUGCGUGUGCGCGCACGAUAAGUAUCCGCGCGUGAAAAAAUUAUUAAUUCACUAUAUCGAUGUACAAAAAUAAUGCAUCGAAAUUUAAUAUUAUUGAUCCGCUGGAACGUUUUGCAUUUAUGUAUUAUUAUGUAUUUCGAAUACGAUCAGCUGUGACAACAUGGCGGGCAUGCCAUCUAUCGCUCGAGCGAUUUAAAUUAAGAUAACGAAGAUCCACACAGAAACGGAGCCACGCAGUUGUAUGUGUUCGCUAGCAGCGUAAACAAGAUGUAAAUUGGCUGCAUUUAUAAUAGAAAUGUAAUAGAGAAAAUCUCUUCUCAACCAUACACUUCUUCACGUUGCUUAUUGCAGUUUUACAUUGUGAAUCAUCAAUAAAGCUACGCCACUGAUAUGUAGCGGAAGAUACUGCAACGUGUCUUUUCAACCACCAUUGCAUCAUAUCCGAUGACGAAAGUAUCAAAAUCAUAUACAGUCAAUUUUGCUCUCAUCAACUGCAACUUAAGGACGACCAUUGAUCAAUCCUGAAGUUCUGCAAGAAAAACUAAAGAGAAAUUAAUUUGUGCUUUAUUACUCAUGCUGUGCAUUUGACGAAAAUGCGUUUGGAUUGAAACAUAAAAGCGUUUCAAGCGGAUAUGCGUUUAAAAAAUCAUGCUUUUGGGUCGUAAAUGUAAGAACAUCAGGAAACCGACUAGGGAAAAUUAAUACAAUUUAAAUUUAGUCGACAAUAUUUCAACAGUUGGAGAUUAAAGAAAAGUUUAAGCUUUUUAGCAAGGAUGUGGUGUGCUAAUUUGUCAUACUAAUACCAUAUAGUCACGAAUAUCGCGAGCGCCCGGUAUAUAGUCUUGAUAACGAGACAAGAUAGCUGUCUUAAAUUUUCGAGAUACUGUGACAGCUUGAAUGACAAAACAAGGACAUUUUAUUACUAUUCUCUUAUAAGUUGUGUAUCGCGCGUAUAUGUGUAUUCGUGCAUACAUUGGCAUAUUUAUAAAAUCUCUUCUGUGAAGUCUCCUAAUCAGUUCUUUCGAGAUCACGCGAUAGACUGGCUGCUUUAAAGAUGAGUUUAUUAGAAUCUGCGCGAUUAUAAGAAUCUUUUAAUAAGUAUCUGGAAAAUUCAAUUUACGUUUCAGACAAAUUGUGAAGUUUGUUAAUUAUAUAUUUGUGCAAAUAGUACAUUAAAAAGAAUAACGCGGAGCAAGUGUGCGUAAUAAAAUAAUAAAAGAAAGAAAUAGUAGGUAGCCAUCAAAAUGAUAAAUAAUCAGCAUUGUGUGAUUCUCAAUACUGGCGAGACCAAUAGUUAUCAUCAACCGGUCUCGGCUAAGCCCUCUGUUGUUUCUGUAUCAAGUAUUGAUUCUGACGUCAGCGAUAGAAGGGAUGUACGUGAGGAAUUGUAUGCCGGAAUCUUUAGGAGGCACAGAAAAACUAUACUGAAAUAUUUCGACAGAUUGCACGCUUUGAACCGAGUAUACGCCUUAAUUGAUCUAAGAUUUGAGACACAAAAAUAUUGGUAAUAUCGUUUUUUUUUCUGUAUUUUACCACGCAUAUUAUGUACUUUUAUUUUGUAAUGUACGUUUCAUUAUAUAUUGUCUCAUGUUAAAAUGCAAUGUUAAAAUUUUUUAUGAUAUUUAAAAAAUGAUACUAAACUCGUCAUGCUUUCACAAUAUAUCAAAUCUUUUUAUAUAAUUAAAAAAAAAUUAUCAAAAACGAUGUAUCAUAUUUUAAUGUUGCCGAUAUUAUCUAAGUUGGCCCAUGAAAUCGUUCAAUACUUUAAUGUAUACUGCAAUUAUUGUCUGUGUUAUUAUUAACGAGCUUAAUAUUUAUGAAGCGCGCGCGCGCACAUACACACACACACAAAUUGAGAGCAUAUAUAACAAUAUAAGAUUUGUAUAAUAGUUAUAGAUUAAUGCGAAUAUAUCAAAUCAAUGCCUUAUUACUUGAUACUUUGACAUCUUUUCUAGUUUUAUCGGUUAAUCGAGUAAUUAUUGAAAUUUAUUACUAACUCAAUCGCUCUUUGUCGUAUAUACCUUUUUGUAUGAUCCGCAUCUUUAUACUAUACUGUCAUAUAUACAAAUACUGCCAUUAGAAAAUAAAACUACGGUACGGUAGACGUGAAUUAGUGAGCAACUCGGAAAACAAUCAUGCAUUUAACAAUUUCCUAAAACAUACUUAAACGACAAGUUUUAAAUAAAUAUCUACCAAAUAAGAUAAAUAUGUGUCUCUGUACUUAGCCGAAUCACUCGUUGUCGUAAGACUGAAAAAUGUGCUCUUUUGGAAAAUUAAAUGUGCCAUGUGCUAUUUUAGAGGAAGAGAAAGAGGGAGAUAAAGACAAAGAAAAGGAAGAAAGCACUUUCUUUGUAUUUGUCAAUUUCUGGAUUGCUGUAGAUUUAACAUUGGGCGUAUACAAUGAUACAAAGCAUAUUUUCUAACCGUGAUACAUUACAAUUAUAUUUUGUAUCUAGACAACGUGUACGAUCCGACCAAAAAGAUUUAUCUUGCCUUCAAAAUAAUCGGGCGGGCGAUAUAAAAUUGUUAUUGAUUGAUUUACAGAUCGGUCAAAAGAUCUGUAGAAUAUACAAGUCAUUUGCGUGAUAUUGCUAUUAAAUAUUAUUGCUUAUGUAUUGCGAUAGUGUUUAGAGAUUUAUUUGAAACUAUAAGAUAUACUUGAAAACUGUAUUUUUUAUGUCGUAAUAGUUUUUAUGAAUUUAAAAAAAAACAUAUUGGCGCGCCUUUUAAGCAGCAGUAGGGCGAAAAUUUAUAUGCUGGCAGCUUUAUCAGAUUGUUUGCGCAUGUAUUUAAACAUCGCGUAACGUAGACAUACGUAACGUUAAUUACGAAAUAGGAUUUUUAUUGAAGACCGAUGUAAAAGAAGAAGCGACAGAUAUUUUGUUUGUUCAAUUGUUAAAAUUUUACAUGAUUUUGUUAACAGACAAUUAUGUUCUAAAUGCAUUAUUGUGUGUGCUGAGUGAGAAAAGUUUUUAUUAUCACUUUAUAUAAUGUAUUAUUAGAACGUAUCACACAAGAAAUCAGAUGUGUAUGUGAAACACAUAAUAAAGUAUUUAUAUUAUGUUUAAUAAAAAAA
Molecule: long non-coding RNA, 3560 nt
Organism: Formica exsecta
Lineage: Eukaryota; Metazoa; Arthropoda; Insecta; Hymenoptera; Formicidae
Exons: 3
Source: RefSeq, a predicted model, not a curated record